AGGGUUUGAUCCUGGCUCAGAACGAACGCUGGCGGCAUGGCUAAAACAUGCAAGUCGAGCGCGAAAGUUCCCUUCGGGGAGCGAGUAGAGCGGCGAAAGGGCGAGUAAUGCAUGGGUAACGUACCUCCUGCACAGGGAUAGCCCACCGAAAGGUGGUGUAAUACCUGAUGAUAUCGCGGCCACCUACGUGGCGGCGAUCAAAGGCGGGGACCCUUCGGGGCCCGUUGGCUGGAGAGCGGCCCAUGUCCUAUCAGCUUGUUGGUGAGGUAAUGGCUCACCAAGGCUACGACGGGUACCGGGACUGAGAGGUUGGCCCGGCGCAUUGGGACUGAGACACUGCCCAGACUCCUACGGGAGGCUGCAGUAACGAAUAUUGGGCAAUGGGCGAAAGCCUGACCCAGCAAUGCCGCGUGUGGGAUGAAGCCUUUCGGGGUGUAAACCACUGUCAGGGACUACCAAGCAAAGGGACCUAAUACGUCCCGGCGUUGAGGAAUCCCAGAGGAAGCCACGGCUAACUUCGUGCCAGCAGCCGCGGUAAUACGAAGGUGGCGAGCGUUGUUCGGAAUCACUGGGCUUAAAGAGCACGUAGGCGGCCUUGCAAGCGUCCCGUGAAAUCCCCCGGCUCAACCGGGGAACUGCUGGGCGAACUGCAAGGCUUGAGGCGAGUAGAGGUGCGUGGAACUCUUGGUGGAGCGGUGAAAUGCGUAGAUAUCAAGAGGAACGCCGGAGGCGAAAGCGGCGCACUGGGCUUGUCCUGACGCUGAGGUGCGAAAGCUAGGGGAGCGAACGGGAUUAGAUACCCCGGUAGUCCUAGCCGUAAACGAUGCCUACUAGGUUGGAGACUCUCUGACGGGUUUCCAGCCGAAACUAAAGCGUUAAGUAGGCCGCCUGGGGAGUACGGUCGCAAGGCUAAAACUCAAAGGAAUUGACGGGAGCUCACACAAGCGGUGGAGCAUGUUGCUUAAUUCGAUUCAACGCGAAGAACCUUAUCCUGGGCUUGACAUGCUUGGAUGCCCAUCUGGAAACAGAGUAGGCUGCCCUUCGGGGUGAAACUUGCACAGGUGCUGCAUGGCUGUCGUCAGCUCGUGUCGUGAGAUGUUGGGUUAAGUCCCGUAACGAGCGAAACCCUUGUCGUUAGUUGCCAGCGGGUCAUGCCGGGGACUCUAGCGAGACCGCCGGUGUUAAACCGGAGGAAGGUGGGGAUGACGUCAAGUCCUCAUGGCCUUUAUGCCCAGGGCUGCAAACGUGCUACAAUGGCUGGUACAAACCGACGCAAGACCGCGAGGUGGAGCAAAUCGGAAAAAGCCGGCCCCAGUUCGGAUUGGAGUCUGCAACUCGACUCCAUGAAGUCGGAAUCGCUAGUAAUCGCAGAUCAGCUAUGCUGCGGUGAAUGUGUUCCUGAGCUUUGUACACACCGCCCGUCAAGUCAUGGAAGCCGGGAGCGCCCGAAGUCGGUCCGUUUCAGGGCUGCCGAAGGUGAGCUCGGUGACUGGGACUAAGUCGUAACAAGGUA
Molecule: ribosomal RNA, 1513 nt
Filed under: metagenome
Description: bacterial SSU rRNA
Rfam family: Bacterial small subunit ribosomal RNA
Source: RNAcentral